This 495-nucleotide ribosomal RNA is filed under the name uncultured bacterium. RNAcentral describes it as "partial 16S ribosomal RNA". It matches the Rfam family "Bacterial small subunit ribosomal RNA", at positions 28 to 505 of the family's 1533-position model. The record is from RNAcentral.
GAUGAACGCUGGCGGCGUGCCUAAUACAUGCAAGUCGAGCGAACAGACGAGGAGCUUGCUCCUCUGACGUUAGCGGCGGACGGGUGAGUAACACGUGGAUAACCUACCUAUAAGACUGGGAUAACUUCGGGAAACCGGAGCUAAUACCGGAUAAUAUAUUGAACCGCAUGGUUCAAUAGUGAAAGACGGUUUUGCUGUCACUUAUAGAUGGAUCCGCGCCGCAUUAGCUAGUUGGUAAGGUAACGGCUUACCAAGGCAACGAUGCGUAGCCGACCUGAGAGGGUGAUCGGCCACACUGGAACUGAGACACGGUCCAGACUCCUACGGGAGGCAGCAGUAGGGAAUCUUCCGCAAUGGGCGAAAGCUGGACGGAGCAACGCCGCGUGAGUGAUGAAGGUCUUCGGAUCGUAAAACUCUGUUAUUAGGGAAGAACAAAUGUGUAAGUAACUAUGCACGUCUUGACGGUACCUAAUCAGAAAGCCACGGCUAACUACG